CCUACGGGGAGCAGCAGUGAGGAAUAUUGGUCAAUGGACGAGAGUCUGAACCAGCCAAGUAGCGUGAAGGAUGACUGCCCUAUGGGUUGUAAACUUCUUUUAUAUGGGAAUAAAAUGUUCCACGUGUGGGUUUUUGUAUGUACCAUAUGAAUAAGGAUCGGCUAACUCCGUGCCAGCAGCCGCGGUAAUACGGAGGAUCCGAGCGUUAUCCGGAUUUAUUGGGUUUAAAGGGAGCGUAGGUGGAUUGUUAAGUCAGUUGUGAAAGUUUGCGGCUCAACCGUAAAAUUGCAGUUGAAACUGGCAGUCUUGAGUACAGUAGAGGUGGGCGGAAUGCGUGGUGUAGCGGUGAAAUGCUUAGAUAUCACGAAGAACUCCGAUUGCGAAGGCAGCUCACUGGACUGCAACUGACACUGAGGCUCGAAAGUGUGGGUAUCAAACAGGAUUAGAUACCCGAGUAGUC
RNAcentral lists this ribosomal RNA (460 nucleotides) under uncultured bacterium. Its description in RNAcentral is "partial 16S ribosomal RNA". It matches the Rfam family "Bacterial small subunit ribosomal RNA", at positions 338 to 795 of the family's 1533-position model. The record is from RNAcentral.